RNAcentral lists this ribosomal RNA (440 nucleotides) under uncultured bacterium. Its description in RNAcentral is "bacterial SSU rRNA". It matches the Rfam family "Bacterial small subunit ribosomal RNA", at positions 958 to 1399 of the family's 1533-position model. The record is from RNAcentral.
AACGCGAAGAACCUUACCCAGGCUCGAAAUGUAGAGGGCGAUACCAGAAAUGGUAUUUUCCGUAAGGACUUCUAUAUAGGUGCUGCAUGGCUGUCGUCAGCUCGUGCCGUGAGGUGUUGGGUUAAGUCCCGCAACGAGCGCAACCCUUAUCAUUAGUUGCCAACACGCGAGGUGGGGACUCUAAUGAGACUGCCUAGGUUAACUAGGAGGAAGGUGAGGAUGACGUCAAGUCCGCAUGGCCUUUAUGUCUGGGGCUACACACGUGCUACAAUGGUCGGUACAGAAGGCAGCGAAGUCGUAAGAUGGAGCAAAUCCCAAAAGCCGAUCUCAGUUCAGAUUGUGGUCUGCAACUCGACCACAUGAAGUUGGAAUUGCUAGUAAUGACGUGUCAGCUACAACGUCGUGAAUACGUUCCCGGGCCUUGUACACACCGCUCGCGA